GAAUAAGUAAAUAUUUUUGGUUUGGUAGUUAAAUUAUUUAUAUUAUUUAUAUUUAAAAUUUUUAGGUGAAAUUUUAAUUUUAAUUAUAUUAAAUUUGGUUGAAGCUAUGAAAUUUAUAUUAUAAACAAGGAUUAGAUACCCUUUUAUUUUAAAUGUUAAUAUUAACCAGGGUAGUAAUAGUUAUGUUCUUGAAACCCAGAGAAUUUGGCGGUAUUUUAUUCUUUUUAGAGGAACCUGUCCUAUAAUCGAUAUUCCACGAGGAUUGUUUACUUAUUUUUGUUUUCAGUUUGUAUACCUCCGUCAUAAGAGUAUCUUUUUAGAGUGAAUACUCUAUUAAUAUAAAAUAUGAAAUGUCAGGUCAAGGUGCAACUUAUAAAUAAGAAGAGGUGGGUUACAAUAAAUAUAUUUAUACGGAUUAUAAAUUUUAUUUUUAUAUGAAGGCGGAUUUAAAAGUAAAUUUAAUUUCCUAUUAAUUUGAUUUUGGCUCUAAAAUAUGUACACAUCGCCCGUCGCUCUUAUUUUAAGAUAAGAUAAGUCGUAACAUAGUWGGUGUAUCGGAAGAUGUUCCUAGAAAGUUU
This 578-nucleotide ribosomal RNA is filed under the name Epitheca bimaculata. RNAcentral's name for it is "partial 12S ribosomal RNA". The record is from RNAcentral. Lineage: Eukaryota; Metazoa; Arthropoda; Insecta; Odonata; Corduliidae.